This 1194-nucleotide ribosomal RNA is filed under the name uncultured Acinetobacter sp. RNAcentral describes it as "bacterial SSU rRNA". It matches the Rfam family "Bacterial small subunit ribosomal RNA", at positions 202 to 1370 of the family's 1533-position model. Lineage: Bacteria; Pseudomonadati; Pseudomonadota; Gammaproteobacteria; Moraxellales; Moraxellaceae. The record is from RNAcentral.
GAAAGCAGGGGAUCUUCGGACCUUGCGCUAAUAGAUGAGCCUAAGUCGGAUUAGCUAGUUGGUGGGGUAAAGGCCUACCAAGGCGACGAUCUGUAGCGGGUCUGAGAGGAUGAUCCGCCACACUGGGACUGAGACACGGCCCAGACUCCUACGGGAGGCAGCAGUGGGGAAUAUUGGACAAUGGGCGCAAGCCUGAUCCAGCCAUGCCGCGUGUGUGAAGAAGGCCUUUUGGUUGUAAAGCACUUUAAGCGAGGAGGAGGCUCCUUUAGUUAAUACCUAAAGUGAGUGGACGUUACUCGCAGAAUAAGCACCGGCUAACUCUGUGCCAGCAGCCGCGGUAAUACAGAGGGUGCGAGCGUUAAUCGGAUUUACUGGGCGUAAAGCGUGCGUAGGCGGCUUUUUAAGUCGGAUGUGAAAUCCCUGAGCUUAACUUAGGAAUUGCAUUCGAUACUGGAGAGCUAGAGUAUGGGAGAGGAUGGUAGAAUUCCAGGUGUAGCGGUGAAAUGCGUNAGAGAUCUGGAGGAAUANCCGAAUGGCGAAGGCGGCCAUCUGGCCUAAUACUGACGCUGAGGUACGAAAGCAUGGGGAGCAAACAGGAUUAGAUACCCUGGUAGUCCAUGCCGUAAACGAUGUCUACUAGCCGUUGGGGCCUUUGAGGCUUUAGUGGCGCAGCUAACGCGAUAAGUAGACCGCCUGGGGAGUACAGUNCNGNCAAGACUAAAACUCAAAUGAAUUGACGGGGGCCCGCACAAGCGGUGGAGCAUGUGGUUUAAUUCGAUGCAACGCGAAGAACCUUACCUGGCCUUGACAUACUAAGAACUUUCCAGAGAUGGAUUGGUGCCUUCGGGAACUUAGAUACAGGUGCUGCAUGGCUGUCGUCAGCUCGUGUCGUGAGAUGUUGGGUUAAGUCCCGCAACGAGCGCAACCCUUUUCCUUAUUUGCCAGCGGGUUAAGCCGGGAACUUUAAGGAUACUGCCAGUGACAAACUGGAGGAAGGCGGGGACGACGUCAAGUCAUCAUGGCCCUUACGGCCAGGGCUACACACGUGCUACAAUGGUCGGUACAAAGGGUUGCUACCUCGCGAGAGGAUGCUAAUCUCAAAAAGCCGAUCGUAGUCCGGAUCGCAGUCUGCAACUCGACUGCGUGAAGUCGGAAUCGCUAGUAAUCGCGGAUCAGAAUGCCGCGGUGAAUACG